AGUGAACGCUGGCGGUAGGCCUAACACAUGCAAGUCGAACGGCAGCACAGUAAGAGCUUGCUCUUACGGGUGGCGAGUGGCGGACGGGUGAGGAAUACAUCUGAAUCUACUUUUUCGUGGGGGAUAACGUAGGGAAACUUACGCUAAUACCGCAUACGACCUACGGGUGAAAGCAGGGGAUCUUCGGACCUUGCGCGAUUGAAUGAGCCGAUGUCGGAUUAGCUAGUUGGCGGGGUAAAGGCCCACCAAGGCGACGAUCCGUAGCUGGUCUGAGAGGAUGACCAGCCACACUGGAACUGAGACACGGUCCAUACUCCUACGGGAGGCAGCAGUGGGGAAUAUUGGACAAUGGGCGCAAGCCUGAUCCAGCCAUACCGCGUGGGUGAAGAAGGCCUUCGGGUUGUAAAGCCCUUUUGUUGGGAAAGAAAAGCAGCAGGUUAAUACCCCGCUGUUCUGACGGUACCCAAAGAAUAAGCACCGGCUAACUUCGUG
This 492-nucleotide ribosomal RNA is filed under the name uncultured bacterium. RNAcentral's name for it is "partial 16S ribosomal RNA". It matches the Rfam family "Bacterial small subunit ribosomal RNA", at positions 29 to 507 of the family's 1533-position model. The record is from RNAcentral.